AAAAAAAAAAAAAAAAAGAAGCAACCUUCCGCAUAUUGAAUUUCAAAAAUCACUUUUAUAAUUUGGUUAUUAAUUUUCUAAUUAUAUAACUUAUAUAUGUAGUUGUUCAUUUUAUAUAAUUAGUUAUUUAUGCUUAUGCUUUGCCACUGAAUGUUAAAAGAAUAGAGAAGUAAAAUUUUCAAAAUUAAAAAUUCCAUUCCCUCUUAAUUUUUACAUAAAAAAGCACUAAUGGGUUCUAUGCGGAUCAAAAUAAUACAUUCAACGAUAUGCAAAAAUAAAUAAAUAAAUAAAAAAUAAAAAAUAAAAAAAAAUGAAAAUCACUAUCACGUGUUGAUUGACGGGUAAGUAAUCUCAAUCUUUGUAAAGAUAAGAAUACAACUUUGAUUUUCGAAAAGCACAACUUAUUAGGAGGAUCAAAAACUUUACAAUCUACGGCUACUCUAUGGCUGGAAGGAGAAUAUUCCUAUAUAUUGUCUUCUUCUUAAAAUAUAGAUUUUUUUAUGACCAUUGUUUUGUCUUUAAUAUAAAUUGUUUUGAAUAUUUUAAAGAGAUAAAUAACGUCUUUUUAAUUUUAUCUUUAUUUAUAUUAGAAAUAAUAUAACUAUCUUCAAAAGUUAGUUUUGAUUUUGAGAGAGUAAUUGAUUUUGUUAUAAUUUAGGAUAAUUACUACUUUUUUUAGUUUCUGUACAAAAUCUUUAACUUAAUUAAAUUAUACUUGAUUUUGUUAUAAUUUAACAUAAUCUUUACCUUAAUUAAAAGUUGCCAUAUGAGAAAAAGUUUCCAUAUAAAUAAACGUCAAAAAUAAAAAAUUUCUCUAUAUAAAUAGAACGGAGGGAGUAGCAAUAAUUAAGCAUUUUACUUUAUUCUAUUUAAGUGCUCAUUUAUGAAUUUGAGAGUAUAUUAAUAAUUUUUUUCAAUUUUAUCCGUCUUGAAUAUAUGAAAUUUAUUUUUGUCUUUUUUUUAUCAUUACUUUAAUUAUAAUUAAAUUAAAAUUUUGAUUUCACACAUAACAAAUUAAAGUUUUUGACUAUAUUAAGCGAUAAAUAAAAUAAAUGGAAGUACUACUCUAACGGUGGUGCUUUAAUAUGAGAUAAAAUUAGCAUUGAUAUAUAGCAAAAUUAAAUGGAAAAUUUUUAAGUUUAGGAAGAACAAUUUAGGUAUGCUUAUAUAUAUAUAUAUAUAUAUAUAUAUAUAUAUAUAUAUAUAUUUAAUGGUAUUCUAAUAAUUUAAUUUUUGUAAAAGAAAUAAAAUUUUCCUAUUAAAAUGUAACAGAGGAAUAAAUAUUUUAUAUGUUUUGCAUCCUUUACAACUUUGAUCAUUCUGUCACUUUUUUGUGCUUUCUAUCAAUACUUAUAAUACUGCUUUGAGAAAAUUAAUUAUUUCGUUCUUAUGUUUUGCUAAAAUCAACUAGUUUAUCUCUACAUUCUUUGUAAUUUUUUUGUGCUUUUUAAUGGAAAAAAGUACAAAAAAAUUAAUGAAAUCUAGAUAUAAAAUAUAGAAAAGAUUUUAGUGUAUUUUAAAAAAAUACAGAAACAAAUUAGUACCUUUUGACAAAAUAAAAGAACAAAGUAGUAAUUCAUUUUAAUUGAAACUCAAUUUAUUUCUGAAAAGUAAUUUAAAAAUAUUUUAAAAAUAUAUUCAUCUUUUGAGAAGAGAGAAUAAAAGCUAACUUUCUUUAAAAUAUUUUAAUUUUUCAUUUAUCUAAAAAAUAUUCUUUAUUAACGGAUUUUUUUGAACGCUUCAAAUAUUGAUAAAAUGUAAAAAAUGUUUUUCAAGGAAAUUACUUUUUAAAAUAGAAUGAAGCCUAAGAUUCUAUUUGAAAUUAGUGUUUAAAAUAAUUAAUUUUUAGAUACACAAAUUAAAGAACAGGAAUGUUCACUUCAAUUCACGUGAAAAUGAAAUUUAAUAUAUAAUACCUCUCUGUCAUAUAAUACAUUUCACAUUUGAAAUUUUAAGUCUCUUAAAAAAAAUCAUUAAAUUUAUUUAAGUUAUAAUAAAUUAUUAUGUAAAUUGACUAUAUUAUCUUUAAUUUAAUAUUAAUUCUUUAAGAAAACUAUGAGAUUAAAGUAAUAAUUAUUGGUCAUGUAAAAAGGAUAAAUAUAAAAAAUAUUUAUUACUCCUUAAAACCACAAAUGUAAUAAGUAUUUUAGAAUAAAUUAUUUUCUAAAAUGUGACGAAUUUUAUGGAAUGAAGUAUAUAUAUGUAUAACUUGGUCGAAACAGAUCUUUGGAUUUACUUUUCUAAAAAAAAAAAAAAAUUUAAUUAAAACAUAUAAAUUGAUCUAAAAAUGCUUUUGUUUUAUUUUUUUUUUAAAUUGGCAAUUAUUAAUGGGUUUUCCUAAGUAAUUUAAGUGCUACGAGCUUAUCGAAUGAUGCUAAAGACAAAUUCAUUUUUUUAAGUGCCUAAGGGAGCCAUAAUAAAUGAAUACGAAAGUAAUCAUCAUUCUCACAAUUGGACCCAGUUUCAUCUGCGAGCUCAUCUUGGGCUGGGUAAUGGGCCUAUGUUUCUUAUUCAGAUGUACGGGUCACUUUCGGAACCAUAAGGCCCAUAAUGACUUGAAUAACCCGAAGGUUCAAAAAUCAAAAUAAAAAUCCUUACAAAAAUAACUACAUUAGUUUCUGUUUGUAACGACUUGGGUGAUCACAUACCAAUUAAAAAUUAAAACUGUAAAACUGAAUUAGUUAAUUGGUUCAAUUUUGAUUUAUAAUUUUAGAUAAUUUUGAUUUCAGCUUUUGAUUCGAUUAUUGAAAAUAAGUUAAUUUGGCUACAAAAUUGAACAAAAACAUUUGAUUUCGAUAGUUUAGAAAAAAAAAAAAAAAAAAAAAAAUUCAAUUUUCAGUUUUAUCGUUUCGAUUUGAUUCAGAACCCAAUCAAUUGAUUGCACAUCUCUAUGUGGAGGUCUAGACAUAUAUAGUUUUUUUUUUCAUAAACAAAUUGUGCCAAAAAAAAAAAAGCUCUUAUAUAUAUUUUUUAUUUCUCAUUAAUUUUUUCUUCCAAAUGAAUAAUAUGUUUCUUUUACUUUUUAUUGAUUUGAUUGUGUAUUUGACUAAUAUGAGAAUAACUUAUUUUCAUACAGAUUAUUUACUUUUUUUUUUUUUGAAUAAAUUGGAUCCUUGUCCAUUUUUGAUUCUACAAGAAAAAUUAGAAUUAAAAUCCUAAGGCAAUCUAGUUGGAAAUGUAAUUAAACAAAUAUAUAAAAACAGAAGCAAGUUUGUUAAUGUAGCAUAUUACAACAUUAUUUUGCUAAAUUCAUAUUAAUUUAUUGUUUCAUAGGAAACUAUCUAUGAAAUUUUUCUCAAUUUAAAAGAAUUUUUUUUGUUUACUAUAUAUCUAUGUUUAUAUCCAUUUUGCUUCUUCUUUUUUUAAUUGAAAAAUUGUAAUGCUUAAUUAUUAUUAAAACUCCUUCUUCCUUGACUAAAGAUUUCGAGUUCGAAUCGUAGGUAUGAAGUCUUUUUAAGUAUCCGGGAGGGACUGCUUCCCCUUUGCAGGCCUAUUCGAUGCGAAUCUGAAAUUAGUCGGGUUAGUAGACUUCAAACACCACAUUCUUAAAGAACCAAAAAGAAAAUAUCAUUAAGAUCUGAAAGCAUUACAUCAUCGAUAAUGGAUGGAGAGCUAGAAGUCCACUCCAUAAAACCAAACACAGAACCAGCUGCUCCUACUAACAAAUGAGCUAUCUGGUUUGCUAAUUUUUCAACAAAAAUAAAGGACAUAAACUCUUUAGCAAGAGUUUUGACAAUCAUGGAUAACUAAGCUAAAUAGAACAAUCAACAGAUAAAUUCUUCAACUCCUAUAUGGCUAUCAAACAAUCUAUUUCAAUAGAAAGAGGAACUUGGUAAUCUUUUUCCUUUAACCAUCGUAAAACCUCUCUGAUACUCAAAACUUCUGCUAGUAAAGAAUUGGAAACAAUGCCCAGAUGUUUCAUACCACCACCCGCACUGAAACCAGCAUGGUCUCUUACCAUCCAACCCGCUCUAGCUGACUUUGAUUGAAUAUAAAAUGAUGCAUCUAUAUUAAUCUUCAACUGACUAGGCGAUGAAGGCUUCCAUUUCAACAGCUUCAUAGAAACCAGUUGUUCUUGUUGGAUUCGAACGAUUCAUAAAUUGAGUAGCCUGCCAAGAACUGAUGAAAGAUUGAGCCCCUGGUCUUUUAUUAUUAAAGAUUACAUUAUUUCGCAUAUUCCAAAUUUUUCAACCCAAGGCAAUUGCUUCACAACAGAUAUCUAUAGUACAUCUGUCCUUUAUCUUUUGAAACCAAUCAAGAAUGGAAGUCAUAGAACCCCACCAGCCUGCAUUUGAGUUUAACUAGUAAUCUUUUGGAAAAUAACAAUCCACCAGACAAUGAAAAACAGAUUCUCUUCAACAUACGUACAGGGAAAAUGCGUGGAACCUCAAUUCUUCUAGACAAUAAAGCACUUCUCGUGGGUAAACUGUACAACAGAGGGCCUGCCACAUGAAGUUUGUUACUUUUGCUGGUAUUUUUGAGACUCCACAAGAAUUUUCAUUCUGCAGAAGGUAACAAAAAUUGAGAAUGCAUCUGCGAAAGGAGAGCUUGAUACCCACUACGAACAAUAUAUAGACCUUUGGACUCCGAAUUCCAAUUCCACGAGUCAUUAACAGCAUAUAGACUCAAUGGAAUCUGCAAAAUCAAGUGCACCUCUGUAUAGCUAAACAAGUCUGCUAAGACAUCAUUAUCCCAUUUCCUUUUACUCAUCAUAAACAAGUCUGUAUAGCCAUUAGUCAUUUCCUUUUACUGAUUAAUGAAUUUGGCCUUGUCAGUAAUCUCCAGCCUGUUUUAGCCAACAUUGCUAUAUUAAACUGAUGGAUUGACCGAAAGUCAAUACACCCUCUUCCUUUUUUCCGUCACAUAGAUCGUUAAGAUAGCCAAUGAAACACAUGUUUUACAAUUAGCAUCAUUUUUCCACCAAAAACGAUUCACAGCAUUUGCAAUUGGAGUAUAAACAUUACAUGGUAAAAGAAAAACAAUCAUCACGAAAUUAGGAAUAGGCAUGACCGGUUAAAUGAACCGCCGGUUCCAGUUCAUUGAACUAUCGGUUUCGGUUUAUUGAACCGCCGGUUUGAGAUGUUUAAAAUUUUAAAUCGGAAUCGACCCUUGAACCUCCGGUUCUGGUCCUGUUCCGGUUCUAGCAUGGUUUCGAUGAAUCAACGGUUCGAAUUACGGUUCCGGUAUUAUACAAAUUUUUAAAAAUAUUUAUAAAAUUUUGAUUCUGAAUUCAUAAAUAAAUAAUAAUUUUAAAAUGUUUAGAUUUUAUUAACUAAAUAAAUUAUUAUAAAAUUUUAAAAGAAAAACUUCCAUUAACUUAGAACUAUUAUUACAUUAAAUUUAUAAAUUUUGCUAAUUCACUAAUAUAGAAAAUUAUAAUUUUUUUUUUUAAUUUUGGGCUUGAAUUAAAUUAAAAUUGAAAAAUUUUAAUUUAAUUACCUAUGUAUAUUCUUGGGAAUUAGAGGAAAUCAAAGCCCACGUAGUUUUUUUUUUUUUUUUUUUACAAUGGAAAAUAACCUCCAAAUUAUUACAAUUAAUUUUAGUCAUCGGUGCCAUUAGUCCCCGUUAUUGAGCCAGAAUCAUCAUCAUCGCUUGAAUUUUGCUGGUCUUAAAUUUUCAACGCUGCUCUAGUGCAAUCGUCAACGCAUUCUUGCAUUUUCACAUUAUUUGGCAUAAUCUUGACCGUGUUGGAUCUAAAAUUUGUCCACCAGCACUAAAAGCUUGUUUCACUGCAACAAUAGAAAUUGGACAAGAAAGAAUAUCGUUUACAAUUGAAGCUAAGACUGGAAAGCGAUUUGUAUGCUUUUUCCACCAACUCAAAAUGUCAAAUUUUGUUGCGUCUUCAUCAGUAUCAUCACCCAAAAACUCCAAAUCUGUGCUAAUAUAUGUCUCAAUUUCCGUGUAUAAAUGUGGAUCCUCUUUUGGUUUUUUUGAAACAUUUUGCAUGAAAUUAAAUUGUGUAGAAUAAAAUUUAGUGGAUUGUGUAAUUUGUGGAUGUAAUACUUGAGGAAGGGGAGAUACUAAUUUAAAAUACUCAUCGUACAAGUGCCAGACAUACCUUAAAACAUUAUUAGUAAGAGAAAAAUAAUAUACUUCAAUAUUAAAAUAUCAUAAUAAAGACAAAAAAAUUAUUGUAAUGCAACUAACUUAAAUCUAGGACAAAGAAACAAUGCAACUAAAUUUAAAUUAGGAAUUUCAAUAUAAUAUUUUUUAACCAUUUAGUUUUCAUCAUGAAUAUACAUUCUUGUAAAUCAUCAUCAUUUUCAUUUUCAAUUAUGGCACUACUUAUGGCCAAACAAUGAAAUGGAAAUAAAUGGGAGGUAGGAUAAUAAACACCAUAAAAAUUCUUGUACAAUUUUCAAAAACUUGUAAAAUAUAUAAUAUUUUUUUAUAAAUAGUCCAAUCGGUUGGAUAAAGUUGAAAAUGUGAUGCAUGCAAUUGAAUUUCAUCUCAUGGGAAUAUCUCUUGAAAAUUUUUUAUAUUUUUUUCCCAUGGAGUGACAAAAAUUUUAAUUUUUUUUUUCUAACAUAUCUAUGUGUCCAUAAAUAAUUUAAAAUAUUUUUUAUUGGACGUAAAAAUUCAUUUAAUGUUGUUAAUGCAUCUUGAACACCUAAAUUUAAAAUAUGACAUGCACAUCAGUGUAAAAAAAUUUUCCACCAAAUUUGGAUUGACAAAUAGUUUUUAAUUUAUUUAUUGAUACCGUAUUUGCACUAGCAUUAUCAAAACCAAUUGUAAAAAUUUUUAGCCAAACUAUAUUCUUCUAAAAUAAUAUUUAACAUGAUAAAAAUAUUAUUGGAGGUGUGAGAGUCAUCAAAAACUCCAAGUGCAAUAUUCUUUUUUAAAUUUUCCAUUUAUUGUCAAUCCAGUGGGAAAUAACACCCAUAUAAGAAUGAGUUUGUGAUGCAUCACACCAAAUAUCACAACAAAUAAAUUUUACCAUCAAAAUUUGUAAAUAUAUUUUUUAAAAUUUCUUUUUCUUUCAAAUAAAUAGAUAAAAUUGUCCUUUUAAGUGUAUUCCUAGAUAUCUUUUUUUGUAAAAGAUUUAAUGUUUUUUUACGAUAGUUAUUAAAUCAAUUUUUUCACCAAAUGAAAAAGAUAAUCAUUCCAUACAAUCCAUCUUAGCCAUUUCAAUUUUAUUAGCUUCAUCACUAUAUUUAAAUAGUGGAGUGUUAGGAUCACCAUACCUUGAUGACAAUAAUUGAGUUUGAGUUAGAUCUAUUCCUACCUCACUUGAAUGAUAUGAUUUUAAAUGCCUAUUAUGAGUGCCAUAGCCUCCUCUAAGCUUGAGUGUAUUUUUUUUUUGCAAUAAUUAUAUCGAAUCGUAUUGAUUUCUCCGUUAUCUUAAACAAUUUUUGCAAAGUGCUUCUUGAAAACAUAUAAUUUUAGUGGUUUACCUAUUGAAAUGUUAGGAGAUGUUACUUCUUGUGAUGGAUGACGACGAAUAUAACGUUCCUCAACUAGAGUUUGAUAUUGAACUUCAUCAUUAAAUUGUAGUGAAAAAUCAAUUAAUGGUUCGUUUGAAUCAAUUUUUUCUACGCUUUGAGUAACUCACUUUCUCUUGGAGGUUUGUGAAUUGUGUGACAUGUUUUUAAAUGGAAUUAUGGAAAAAAAUGAAUAAAUUGAAUAUGAAAUUAAUGGAAUGAGUUGGAAAUUAUUAUUUCCAAAAUGUGAGAAAAUUAUUAAAAAAAAAUCAAAUGAAGUAAGUUUACGAAUGGAAAAAUUGAAAAUAAAAGGAAUUUAAAAUUGGAUGUAUGAAAAUAAAAAAUAAAAUUUGUUUGUGCAUCCGGUUCGAAUCGGACCCGCUUUAAUUUUGGAUACCGCUUUAAUAAAUUUUGGAUACGGCUUUAAUUUAAUUAUCCGUGGACCCCGCUUUGUAUUUUUUAACGUUAUUUCAUUAUCGUGAUUUGGACGAAUCGUUCCAUGCACCAUUUCGUAUACUUUACAUAAAAAUACUAGUAAAUUUCAAUAUAAAAAUAAUUUUUAAGGAUAAAAUUCAUCUAUUUUCAGUGUAUGAGCCUGCCGAUCAGCCGAUCAACAUGCAAAGUAAUUAAUUAGUACUUACUAGUAUAUAAGAAAAAUCCGUUACAGUUGGUAAUAUUUUAUUAAUUAUUUUUUCUUAAUAAAUUGACACAAAUAUUUUUCAUUAAUACUCGGACCUUAUCCAUUGCGAUCUGCAGAACCCAUUUAAAGACUCGAGAAAUUGUUAGUCAAAGACCCUGAAAAGAGAAAAAUGGCGGAGUCAAAGACGAUAGGCGUUGUGGGUAGCGGCCAAAUGGGGUCGGGCAUCGCCCAACUUGCCGCCGUACAUGGGUUCGAUGUCUGGCUCCUAGACACGGAUCCUUCUGCUCUGUCUAGAGCUAGAAAAUCUAUCACCAAUAACAUCAAUCGACUCAUCUCCAAAGGGCAACUCUCUCAGGUCAAUCAAAUAACACAACUUUUUCUUUUUGCUGAUAUUUUCACCUUUUUUUUUUUUGGGAAAUCAAAUAUUAAUAGUGGAAUUAUGAAUUUUUUCUUAUUGAUAUGAUUGACUGUACUUGAGUUCUAAUUUUGAAGCCCUCAUCACCAAUUAUGCUUGCUGUGUUUAAGUACUAAUGAGUAAAAGGACUGUAGGAUUAGCAGAUGCCCAAUUACAGAAGUAACAAAGUAGGAGGAUCAUUAAUUUCCAGGGUGAAGUUUUUAAGUGUCACUUUGAAAAUUUUCACAUGGAGAUAUAUUUCUUUUGCUAUGUGUUGAUAUUUUCCUUUUCGUUUGAACUCUUUUAAUCAGACUCCAGCGGUGAAUUUAUUGAUAAACAACAAGAACCAAUUCAGACGUUUAACUACUGUUUUGAAGUUCUUAUGAUGAAAACAUGUGAAUCUCUGUUUAAAGUUAAACUUUAACUAUGUCUGAGCAACAUAUUUGUAUCUAAUGCUUCUAUCACUAGCAAUUCAAAGAGUAAAGCCAAACAGUUACUUAGUGCAAAAAGUUGGUAUAUCCUACCCCCUGACUAUAAAAUAUCAAUGUCUUUCUUCUUUCUUGGGCUGGAGGUAAGCAUUUAUAGCAUCCAUGUUACAUUUGGACCAUUUUUUUAAAAUAAAUCUGAAGAUAUUGUAUGAUUGAAUUGUAGAGGGUGCUUUCAUGUUCUGGUUAUCUAUGUUUUCUGUUAAACGAACCCCAAUGCUCGAUUAUGUGUGCAAUGGUAUGACAUUAGAAUAUGAGUAAUCGGAUAUAUAUUGCAUAAAGAGAUGGCGACCAUGUGUUGAUUGUAUUUGAAGUCUUUAAGUAGUAAAAUUAAGACCAUUUAGUUAGCCGUAGUGUAAAAAUAUAUUGGAUUACACUAUAUUAUGUUCCAUGAUGGCUUACCAAAUUAUCCCAAGUUAGCUGAGGAAUUGCCUCUGAGAUCAGGGCUUUCAUGGAAAGAGGGAGUAUUUUCCAAUACUUAGACAAUUAAGAUAGUGGAAACAUAAUUUUUGAGCAUUUCUAUUCUAUGAUAAAUUUUCAAACCUUUAGCAAGUUAAGUUUUGAGUAAAAUUUGUAUUAGGAAGAUGUUGAUAGGACUGGAGAGAUUAAACCCAUUUCCUUCAGACUUAAGUAAUUUUGCAAAUAAAGAUUUUGAGAAAGUAAACUCUGUUUCCUUUUCUUGUAAAUUCGCGUGAAUGAAUGCUAAAAGAUUCUGGCUUUUCCACUUGAUAGGCAGGUGGUCACGAUGCUUUAGGGCGUCUAAAUUAUACCACAGAUUUGGAAGAGCUGCAUAUGGCAGAUGUUGAAUUAUGAAUUUUUUCUUAUUGAUAUGAUUGACUGUACUUGAGUUCUAAUUUUGAAGCCCUCAUCACCAAUUAUGCUUGCUGUGUUUAAGUACUAAUGAGUAAAAGGACUGUAGGAUUAGCAGAUGCCCAAUUACAGAAGUAACAAAGUAGGAGGAUCAUUAAUUUCCAGGGUGAAGUUUUUAAGUGUCACUUUGAAAAUUUUCACAUGGAGAUAUAUUUCUUUUGCUAUGUGUUGAUAUUUUCCUUUUCGUUUGAACUCUUUUAAUCAGACUCCAGCGGUGAAUUUAUUGAUAAACAACAAGAACCAAUUCAGACGUUUAACUACUGUUUUGAAGUUCUUAUGAUGAAAACAUGUGAAUCUCUGUUUAAAGUUAAACUUUAACUAUGUCUGAGCAACAUAUUUGUAUCUAAUGCUUCUAUCACUAGCAAUUCAAAGAGUAAAGCCAAACAGUUACUUAGUGCAAAAAGUUGGUAUAUCCUACCCCCUGACUAUAAAAUAUCAAUGUCUUUCUUCUUUCUUGGGCUGGAGGUAAGCAUUUAUAGCAUCCAUGUUACAUUUGGACCAUUUUUUUAAAAUAAAUCUGAAGAUAUUGUAUGAUUGAAUUGUAGAGGGUGCUUUCAUGUUCUGGUUAUCUAUGUUUUCUGUUAAACGAACCCCAAUGCUCGAUUAUGUGUGCAAUGGUAUGACAUUAGAAUAUGAGUAAUCGGAUAUAUAUUGCAUAAAGAGAUGGCGACCAUGUGUUGAUUGUAUUUGAAGUCUUUAAGUAGUAAAAUUAAGACCAUUUAGUUAGCCGUAGUGUAAAAAUAUAUUGGAUUACACUAUAUUAUGUUCCAUGAUGGCUUACCAAAUUAUCCCAAGUUAGCUGAGGAAUUGCCUCUGAGAUCAGGGCUUUCAUGGAAAGAGGGAGUAUUUUCCAAUACUUAGACAAUUAAGAUAGUGGAAACAUAAUUUUUGAGCAUUUCUAUUCUAUGAUAAAUUUUCAAACCUUUAGCAAGUUAAGUUUUGAGUAAAAUUUGUAUUAGGAAGAUGUUGAUAGGACUGGAGAGAUUAAACCCAUUUCCUUCAGACUUAAGUAAUUUUGCAAAUAAAGAUUUUGAGAAAGUAAACUCUGUUUCCUUUUCUUGUAAAUUCGCGUGAAUGAAUGCUAAAAGAUUCUGGCUUUUCCACUUGAUAGGCAGGUGGUCACGAUGCUUUAGGGCGUCUAAAUUAUACCACAGAUUUGGAAGAGCUGCAUAUGGCAGAUGUUGUUAUUGAAGCUAUUGUGGAAUCUGAAGAUGUGAAGAAAAAGUUAUUUCUUGCACUAGAUAAGAUUGUUAAAAGUUCUGCUAUUUUGGCUUCUAAUACAAGUUCCAUCUCCAUAACUCGUCUGGCAUCUACAACUAGCAGACCAGGCCAGGUUAUUUCUUUAUUUCUUCUUUUGGCCUGAAUUUAUGCUUGGAGUGUCUAAUAAUAAAAUUACAAAAUUCGGACAAAUUACAAAAGUCUCAUAUAAUUGCAUUUGAUUCAACUGUUAAUGAACUCAGAAAUUUCUGUUUUCUUUUUCAUCACCUCUUUUUUUUUUAACAAUUUGGGAUUCUGACUCGGUCAAAAACUCAAAGUAAUGCAUCAUCUGCAGGUAAUCGGCAUGCAUUUUAUGAAUCCUCCUCCCAUAAUGAAAUUGGUCGAAAUUGUGCGUGGUGCGGGCACAUCAGAUGAGACAUUUUAUGCAACCAAGUCAUUGGCUGAGAGGUGACAGAAAAUACACUCUUUGUGCAAUGUAGUUGCUGUUCAAAUGAUAAUCAGUUUUCUUAGCCAUUUAUGUGUCUGUAAUCCAAAAUAAUUAUUUUAUUCAAAACAAAACUAUUGAAUAUAUUCGAAUAGUGUUCCAUUAUGCGAAUGCGAAUGAAAUCCUCUUUUUAGCUUUUAUUAAAAAAAUUUCUCUUAUUUAGAUUUUAUUGUAAUUGUAAUCCACCAUCUAUUAACAUCAAUGGCUGUCAAAUUCUGCAGGCUUGGCAAGACAGUUAUAUGCUCUCAAGAUUUUUCCGGCUUCAUUGUAAACCGGAUUCUAAUGCCAAUGAUAAAUGAAGCAUUUCAUACUCUGUAUACAGGAGUGGCAACGAAGGAGGAUAUUGACACUGGAAUGAAGUUAGGCACAAACCACCCGAUGGGUCCUUUGGAGCUUGCAGAUUUUAUUGGAUUGGAUGUCUGCCUGUCAAUAAUGAAAGUUCUUCAUGCUGGCUUAGGCGACAGUAAAUAUGCUCCCUGUCCUCUUCUUGUGCAGUAUGUUGAUGCAGGUCGUCUUGGACGAAAAUGUGGUAUUGGGGUAUAUGAUUAUGGUAGAGCAUCUGCACAAGUAAUACCAUCUUCUCGGCUUUGAAAUUAGAUUGCUUUUCCAAAACUGGGGCAUAUAUUGCAAUUCUUUGUAUCAUGUUGCUCACCUUGGGAGGCAAUUCUGUAACAAAUUAGUAUCAGUUGCCUCGGGAGACACUCUCAUAAAUUGAGAAUAUAUUCUGUACUAAAAAGAAAGAUUGUGCUUGAAGGGAUAAUUUUUGCAGAAUUUAUUCUGUUCAAAGUUUUUGAUGCUUACACUUUUGAAUGUAAUGAAAUGAAUCUUAAUAGUAGUAAAUGGUGGAUGAUAACAGCAGUCUUUUCAAAUUAUUGGGGCAAUGUGCGUGUGUGUAUGUGCCUUUGAAAUCAAAAGAAAGCUACAAAAUCUGCAAUAGUAACAUGAUUAGAGACCUUUUGUUUAGGGUAGUGAAUCUCCACAUCAAUCCUCUUCAAAAACCAGUCCUUUUACGGGCAAUAGCAAUAGUGAAAGUUGCAUUCUAGAUUGAAAUUCACAUGCUUUCAUUUCCUUUUCUUUGUUAACAUUUAAAGCAAAGUCAAAUAAUAAUAGAAAAUAGAUAUCAUCAGCAUCUUGCUUGUGCAAGAAAAAAAAAAAAGGAUUGCGAAAAUCUGACACCAAAUUAUUACUGGAUUAAAAUUCUCAUGAUGAAAUUAACCUUAGGUUAAUUAAAUGAAGGCAAUUCAAGUAUACUGUCAAAGAUUGAGAGUUAAGAGUUUGUUUAUUGAAACAUGAAGUUAGAGACAUUUAGUUAUGUUUUAUAAUUACUUCGACAUAAGAAAGGAAAAACAAGAUUUGCGAGGUAAAUUUUCUGUUAUGUUAUGUAUUGCUUGCCAGCUGGGAAUCUUUAAUGUGAGACAAAGAAAUCAAAAAGGAGCCUCUAAAUUUCAACAAAGUGACCAAACAUGACCCACAAAGAAGAGCCGAUUAAGAGUAUUAAGUUCAUUGUUUCUCAUAUCCAACCCCACCACCAUUCCUCAUUCUAAAGCUGGCAUUAUUACGCCAUGCAUUUUCUAUAUUGAAAGUGAUUGAAUUGGAAUCCAAUGGAUUAUUAAAAAUUAAAAAAAAUGAACAACAUUAUUUGAUAAGAAAUAAAAAAAAAGGUAUAAUCCAAAAAAAAAAAAAAGAAACAAAAAAGAAGAUAAAAAGGCAUAGGAAAGCUAAAACUUUCCCUACUUUACAAGGUAGACUUGAGAGUUGAGAGUAUAGAGAGAGAGAGAGAGAGAGAGAGCAGGGUUAAGUAAUGAAGUUCUUGUUUCAGUGUCCUUGUUGCUCAUGUUUUUGCUUUGUGAAGCCCAAGAAGGGAAAACCAAAGCCGAAGGAAGCUAAAGUAGAGGACUCCAAGGAAGAGAAAAAAGAGUGAUAAAAAAUUGCAAAUGCUGCAUUGCUGAUGCAAAAUGGGUAUUUGGGUGCUCAAGUAAUUGUUUGUAUGUACAAUUUUCUUUCUAUUUCAUGUGAAAUGCUUCCAUCUUUAAUUGCUUUCCAUGGAAAAUAAGGUGUCACAUUACUUUUAUUUUACAAAAUCUCAUAAAAUGUAUGAGAUAUCAAGCUCAUAUCUAGUUUCUGCUUAUUUUGCUUCAAAGCUUGCAUAUAGUCAUUUUGUCUCUUGCCCCUAUAGUGGAAAAUGUGAAUGAGCCUAUCUUUAGUGAGGAUUGAAGCAUUCUACAACAUUUGGCUUUGCCCUCCUUUUUUUUUUUUUUUUUUGGUACAGAAGGGGAUGGCUUUGCACUUGUUUAUUAAUUGAUUUGGUUUAUUUUGGGAUUUGAACUCAUAAAUUCAUAGCUUUUUUACAAUUUUAAUAAUUAAAACUUAAAGAUCCAAUCAUCUUAUUUUAUGUGAUUUUAACAUUGGUUUUAUCAAUUAUUUCUUACAAAUUUUCUAAUUCUAUUAGCUGCAAAAACCUACUAAAAUGUUAGUAACUCUAAUUGAUUGCUGAUGAAGACCAGUGCUUGUUCAAGCACAAAAUGGAAAGGCAUCAAUUCUGUUUAAUUUAGAUCUGCUAAUUCUGAUGAAAUAUGCCAAUUAGGUGUGGUAGUGGGAGGUCUCGAGUUCGAGUUCUCUCGACCACAAGUGUUUUCUCUAACUUGGUGAGUGUUAU
This 14168-nucleotide long non-coding RNA is filed under the name Jatropha curcas. Its description in RNAcentral is "long non-coding RNA (JCUR_LNC000210)". The record is from RNAcentral. Lineage: Eukaryota; Viridiplantae; Streptophyta; Magnoliopsida; Malpighiales; Euphorbiaceae.